This is a long non-coding RNA of Aquila chrysaetos chrysaetos, 154 nucleotides long. RefSeq lists it as uncharacterized. Lineage: Eukaryota; Metazoa; Chordata; Aves; Accipitriformes; Accipitridae. The record is from RefSeq and is a predicted model, not a curated record. The transcript is spliced from 2 exons.
CCCAACUUCUUGUGCACCCCCAGCCUACUUGCUGGUGGGGUGGUAUGAAAAGCAGAAAAUGCCUUGACUCUUUGUAAGUACUGCUCAGCAGUAACAACAUCAUCUCGGCAUUAUCAAUACUGUUUUCAUCACAAAUCCAAAACAUAGCCCCAUA